UCUACUUCUGGUCCAUGUAUGCAUCCUUUAUCUUUAAUAUUAUGAUUAUUUACAAAUCACCAUUCAUUUUUGCAGCGUUAUACAAUAGGUCCCUUAAAAGGUCGGAAAUACAUUUUCUCCUUCAAAGUAAAUUGUUCCAUUCUCCAGUUAAGUUUGCCUAGCUUAUCCUUAUUUUGUGAUAUGAGUGCCAUCAGAAACACUGCCG
This is a non-coding RNA of Pelobates cultripes (western spadefoot toad), 205 nucleotides long. NCBI's taxonomy places the organism in Eukaryota, Metazoa, Chordata, Amphibia, Anura, Pelobatidae. The record is from the annotation of a GenBank genome assembly.